GUGCCAGCCGCCGCGGUAAUACCGGCAGCACGAGUGAUGGCCGAUUUUAUUGGGCCUAAAGCGUCCGUAGCUGGCCGUUCAAGUCUGUCGGGAAAUCCAGUGGCUCAACCACUGGGCUGCCGGCGGAAACUGAACGGCUUGGGACCGGAAGACCCGAGGGGUACGUUCGGGGUAGGAGUGAAAUCCUGUAAUCCUGAACGGACCACCGAUGGCGAAAGCACUUCGGGAGCACGGAUCCGACAGUGAGGGACGAAAGCUUGGGUCUCGAACCGGAUUAGAAACCCCGGUAGUCC
RNAcentral lists this ribosomal RNA (293 nucleotides) under uncultured bacterium. RNAcentral's name for it is "partial 16S ribosomal RNA". It matches the Rfam family "Archaeal small subunit ribosomal RNA", at positions 455 to 747 of the family's 1478-position model. The record is from RNAcentral.